RNAcentral lists this transfer RNA (100 nucleotides) under Brucella suis bv. 2. RNAcentral describes it as "tRNA-Glu". It matches the Rfam family "tRNA". Rfam says of the family: Transfer RNA (tRNA) molecules are approximately 80 nucleotides in length. Their secondary structure includes four short double-helical elements and three loops (D, anti-codon, and T loops). Further hydrogen bonds mediate the characteristic L-shaped molecular structure. tRNAs have two regions of fundamental functional importance: the anti-codon, which is responsible for specific mRNA codon recognition, and the 3' end, to which the tRNAs corresponding amino acid is attached (by aminoacyl-tRNA synthetases). tRNAs cope with the degeneracy of the genetic code in two manners: having more than one tRNA (with a specific anti-codon) for a particular amino acid; and 'wobble' base-pairing, i.e. permitting non-standard base-pairing at the 3rd anti-codon position. The record is from RNAcentral. Lineage: Bacteria; Pseudomonadati; Pseudomonadota; Alphaproteobacteria; Hyphomicrobiales; Brucellaceae.
GCGCCCAUCGUCUAGCGGUUAGGCGCGCUAGGAAGGAGAAGGGAUAGGACGCCGCCCUUUCACGGCGGAAACAGGGGUUCGAUUCCCCUUGGGCGUACCA